AGAACUGCCUGUUGAGCUGUUGUUGAGCGGCUGGUAUCACCCUCCCCUCCCCCAUUAUCCCCCACACUGUUCCACCUCCGCUUCUGGGAGGAACCAGUCGGGGCCACAGAGCAGACUCCCUCAUCUCAUCCCACCAACUCUGUCAGUCCAGCAGGCCCCACAAUGCAGCCUCCACACCACUGCAGUAACAGCCACAUCUUCCCAUCACAAAGCUUCAGUACUAUCUCAAUGUGUUGAAUUACCAUCCAGGAUCCUGUGGCAACGUCAAUGUGAAACCGCAUUGACCCGUGAUCACCACCAACCAGGGCUCCACAGUGGUAUCCUUCGAUGCCCAGGCUUCGCUCAAGAUCAACUGAAGGAGAUUUGGAAGGAUCCCAGGAUGGCCUCCCCAGAGAGCACACCAGGCAGCAAACAGCACUGUGAUGUGAUUGGCUGGUCAGCAGGAAGUAUUAUCUGG
This 457-nucleotide long non-coding RNA is filed under the name Salmo salar (Atlantic salmon). Its description in RNAcentral is "lncRNA (ENSSSAG00000093714.1)". The record is from RNAcentral. Lineage: Eukaryota; Metazoa; Chordata; Actinopteri; Salmoniformes; Salmonidae.